RNAcentral lists this long non-coding RNA (775 nucleotides) under Volvox carteri. Its description in RNAcentral is "long non-coding RNA (VCAR_LNC003151)". The record is from RNAcentral. Lineage: Eukaryota; Viridiplantae; Chlorophyta; Chlorophyceae; Chlamydomonadales; Volvocaceae.
GUGUUUGCUGCUAUCAUGCCACAACCCUACAAUCGCAGCAAUACAGUUCGUAACCGAAUACCGUGACUAACAACGUUUAGUCGUUCACAACAUCCAACAAGGAAUCAAGGAUAUUGUCCAAAUGUUUUUGCUCUACAAGACCACAAUGUGAAACUACUUUCGCCACCCGCGCUAUCUCCUUAAGCAGGCCUGAUACAGGACAUGCAGCAGGCGGUAAACUGCUAGGCAUUGCAUUCUUCAUUUAAUUCAAGCUUAUAUAUGCAGCAUGUUGAAAAGUCCUGGCGCAGAUUUGCAGCAGCGUAUGAAGCAACCAUAAACAGCAUCGACGGCGUCUAUCCGGAGGCCAACGGACCUUCCCGGCGUUUCACACAGGUCACUCACUAAAAUCCUAGCGUUUUGUAUAAAUCCCCCAUUUUUUAGGUUCACAAACACAAACCUGUGGGGGAACGAAAUAGUAGUAACCCCUCCCCUUCAGUUCUGCACGGCAUGGUGUGUCAAGCAGCCAAAUGAAACAACGCAGCUGUGUGGGGUAGGGUUGUCGCCCACUGAACCCUAGUGGUAGCGGGCGGUUAAGUAUGCGGUUAAGUUAAGUUGGGUCAAAGCAGGAUCAGAGAAAUGAGCUGGAGUGCGUCUUACCGCUGCUGCCUUCCUAUCUCCCCGUGGUGCACGAAUAGAUGGUUCAUUUUUCAAUAUCGCUCAAGCGGUGAGCUGUGCUCCGAGCAAUGUAGGGGAAUAUCAUGAAAGGAUGCCGCACGCACUCGUACCCAUGUUUGCG